GAAGGUAUAGCUCAGAAGUAGAGUGCAUGACUAGCAAUCAUGAAGUUCUGGGUUCAGUCCCCAGUACCUCCA
This 72-nucleotide transfer RNA is filed under the name Camelus bactrianus (Bactrian camel). It matches the Rfam family "tRNA". Rfam says of the family: Transfer RNA (tRNA) molecules are approximately 80 nucleotides in length. RNAcentral also lists the same sequence under 1 other name. Lineage: Eukaryota; Metazoa; Chordata; Mammalia; Artiodactyla; Camelidae. The record is from Rfam by way of RNAcentral.